RNAcentral lists this ribosomal RNA (860 nucleotides) under uncultured marine bacterium. RNAcentral's name for it is "bacterial SSU rRNA". It matches the Rfam family "Bacterial small subunit ribosomal RNA", at positions 8 to 916 of the family's 1533-position model. The record is from RNAcentral.
AGAGUUUGAUCCUGGCUCAGAACGUACGCUGGCGGCACGCCUAACACAUGCAAGUCGAACGAAGUAGCAAUACUUAGUGGCAGACGGGUGAGUAACAUGUAGGUAUCUACCCUUUGGCCUGGAAUAACACGAGGAAACUUGUGCUAAUACUGGAUAAGUCUUUACGGAGAAAGCUUUAUGCACCAUUGGAUGAGCCUGCACUUGAUUAGUUUGUUGGUAGGGUAAUGGCCUACCAAGACUUUGAUCAAUAGCUGAUUUGAGAGGAUGAUCAGCCACAUUGGGACUGAGACACGGCCCAAACUCCUACGGGAGGCAGCAGUGGGGAAUCUUGCACAAUGGAGGAAACUCUGAUGCAGCGAUGCCGCGUGAGUGAAGAAGGCCUUUGGGUUGUAAAGCUCUUUCGUCGGGGAAGAAAAUGACUGUACCCGAAUAAGAAGGUCCGGCUAACUUCGUGCCAGCAGCCGCGGUAAUACGAAGGGACCUAGCGUAGUUCGGAAUUACUGGGCUUAAAGAGUUCGUAGGUGGUUGAAAAAGUUGGUGGUGAAAUCCCAGAGCUUAACUCUGGAACUGCCAUCAAAACUUUUCAGCUAGAGUUUGAUAGAGGAAAGCAGAAUUUCUAGUGUAGAGGUGAAAUUCGUAGAUAUUAGAAAGAAUACCAAUUGCGAAGGCAGCUUUCUGGAUCAUUACUGACACUGAGGAACGAAAGCAUGGGUAGCGAAGAGGAUUAGAUACCCUCGUAGUCCAUGCCGUAAACGAUGUGUGUUAGACGUUGGAAAUUUAUUUUCAGUGUCGCAGCGAAAGCAAUAAACACACCGCCUGGGGAGUACGACCGCAAGGUUAAAACUCAAAGGAAUUGACGG